Molecule: ribosomal RNA, 433 nt
Filed under: uncultured bacterium
Lineage: Bacteria
Description: partial 16S ribosomal RNA
Rfam family: Bacterial small subunit ribosomal RNA
Source: RNAcentral
AACGAACGCUGGCGGCAUGCCUAACACAUGCAAGUCGAACGAGACCUUCGGGUCUAGUGGCGCACGGGUGCGUAACGCGUGGGAACCUGCCCUUAGGUUCGGAAUAACUCCCCGACAGGGGUGCUAAUACCGGAUAAUGUCUUCGGACCAAAGAUUUAUCGCCUUUGGAUGGGCCCGCGUUGGAUUAGCUAGUUGGUAGGGUAAAAGCCUACCACGGCGACGAUCCAUAGCUGGUCUGAGAGGAUGAUCAGCGACACUGGGACUGAGACACGGCCCAGACUCCUACGGGAGGCAGCAGUGGGGAAUAUUGGACAGUGGGCGAAAGGAUGAUCCAGCAAUGCCGCGUGAGUGAUGAAGGCCUUAGGGUUGUAAAGCUCUUUUACCCGGGAUGAUAAUGACAGUACCGGGAGAAUAAGCGCCGGCUAACUCCGUG